Molecule: ribosomal RNA, 492 nt
Filed under: uncultured bacterium
Lineage: Bacteria
Description: partial 16S ribosomal RNA
Rfam family: Bacterial small subunit ribosomal RNA
Source: RNAcentral
AGUGAACGCUGGCGGUAGGCCUAACACAUGCAAGUCGAACGGCAGCACAGUAAGAGCUUGCUCUUACGGGUGGCGAGUGGCGGACGGGUGAGGAAUACAUCGGAAUCUACUUUUUCGUGGGGGAUAACGUAGGGAAACUUACGCUAAUACCGCAUACGACCUACGGGUGAAAGCAGGGGAUCUUCGGACCUUGCGCGAUUGAAUGAGCCGAUGUCGGAUUAGCUAGUUGGCGGGGUAAAGGCCCACCAAGGCGACGAUCCGUAGCUGGUCUGAGAGGAUGAUCAGCCACACUGGAACUGAGACACGGUCCAGACUCCUACGGGAGGCAGCAGUGGGGAAUAUUGGACAAUGGGCGCAAGCCUGAUCCAGCCAUACCGCGUGGGAGAAGAAGGCCUUCGGGUUGUAAAGCCCUUUUGUUGGGAAAGAAAGGCAGCAGGUUAAUACCCCGCUGUUCUGACGGUACCCAAAGAAUAAGCACCGGCUAACUUCGUG